GUGCGGACGGGGGUGAUGAUGCGGUAGACGGAGACGAAUCCGUUGGGACGGUUGUUACCGGGGAUGGCAGCGUCGGUAGUGGUGGAGAUGGUGUAGGAGAUGAAGACAGUGUUGCAAGGGUGGAAGGGGACCCCGGGGCGAGCAGCGGCGGAGGCAGCGAGGAGGGAGAGGACGACGACGAGGAGGGGGAAGGCGGAGCCAGAGGAAGCCAUAGCGGGAUCAGCGGAGCGAAGGAAGAUGGGAAGAAUUGGAGU
This 254-nucleotide long non-coding RNA is filed under the name Musa acuminata (dwarf banana). RNAcentral describes it as "long non-coding RNA (MACU_LNC006347)". The record is from RNAcentral. Lineage: Eukaryota; Viridiplantae; Streptophyta; Magnoliopsida; Zingiberales; Musaceae.